AAACUUAGAGUUCGGUGAUUUUUUUUUAUAAUGUUUGAAGGUUAAGUAUUAUGUUUAUGAUUUAGGGGUUUGAAUUUUGAGAGUAUAAGGGUUGGAGUUUGUAUAUGAAGGUUUGUGAUUAAGAUUUAGUUUUAAACGUUUAGAUUUGAAGUUUAUAUUCAGUCUAUGUAUGAUUUAUGUUUGAAAUUUCAAGGGUUUAGGGUAUAGAGUUUUUUCAAUGAUUUAAGGUUAGUGUAUUUGGAAGUUAUAGAUUAAGAUUAAAAGAGAAAAAAAUUAGUUUAUUUUAAGAUUUUAGGUUAUAGUAUGUAAAGAUUACAGCUUUGGAUUUAUUUUAGGGUUUCGUUUGGGAGUUUUGUUAUGUUUCGACUAUAUAUAUUAAGUGAUUCGGUUCAAAACAAAUAAUUAA
This 406-nucleotide long non-coding RNA is filed under the name Brassica napus (rape). RNAcentral's name for it is "long non-coding RNA (BNAP_LNC010322)". The record is from RNAcentral. Lineage: Eukaryota; Viridiplantae; Streptophyta; Magnoliopsida; Brassicales; Brassicaceae.